UUGAACGCUGGCGGCAUGCCUUACACAUGCAAGUCGAACGGCAGCACGGGAGCAAUCCUGGUGGCGAGUGGCGAACGGGUGAGUAAUAUAUCGGAACGUGCCCAGUCGUGGGGGAUAACGUAGCGAAAGCUACGCUAAUACCGCAUACGAUCUAUGGAUGAAAGCGGGGGAUCGCAAGACCUCGCGCGAUUGGAGCGGCCGAUAUCAGAUUAGGUAGUUGGUGGGGUAAAAGCCCACCAAGCCGACGAUCUGUAGCUGGUCUGAGAGGACGACCAGCCACACUGGGACUGAGACACGGCCCAGACUCCUACGGGAGGCAGCAGUGGGGAAUUUUGGACAAUGGGCGCAAGCCUGAUCCAGCAAUGCCGCGUGCAGGAUGAAGGCCUUCGGGUUGUAAACUGCUUUUGUACGGAACGAAACGGCGAGCUCUAAUACAGUUUGCUAAUGACGGUACCGUAAGAAUAAGCACCGGCUAACUACGU
RNAcentral lists this ribosomal RNA (482 nucleotides) under uncultured bacterium. RNAcentral describes it as "bacterial SSU rRNA". It matches the Rfam family "Bacterial small subunit ribosomal RNA", at positions 30 to 506 of the family's 1533-position model. The record is from RNAcentral.